GUGUCUCAUGCCGCCCCCCGCUAAUAAAGAUUAUAUAUUAAAAUACUUUAAAACAUUAGUACAAUUUCUGCCAAGUUCUUAUGGUGUCCUGGCGAUAUUACAGCACUGGAUCAUGUAAUAACAUCCUGAUAUAACUGACGAUAGAAAGCUGGCGGUCCAAAACCACAAACCCCCUUCACCCCCUGAAUUAACCAUUAAAAUAUUAUCCUUCAACGAUAGAA
Molecule: long non-coding RNA, 221 nt
Organism: Spea bombifrons (plains spadefoot toad)
Lineage: Eukaryota; Metazoa; Chordata; Amphibia; Anura; Pelobatidae
Exons: 2
Source: RefSeq, a predicted model, not a curated record